UCAGGAGGGGUAACCCUUCUGAGGGGAGAGCGGCGAACGGGUGAGUAACACGUGGGCAACGUGCCCCGGACACCGGGAUAACCCAGGGAAACCUGAGCUAAUACCGGAUACUCCGGCGCGAUCGCAUGGUCGUGCCGGGAAAGCUCCGACGGUCCCGGAUGGGCCCGCGGCCUAUCAGCUUGUUGGUGGGGUAACGGUCCUCCAAGGCGACGACGGGUAGCUGGUCUGAGAGGACGUCCAGCCACACUGGGUACUGAGACACGGCCCAGACUCCUACGGGAGGCAGCAGUGGGGGAUCUUGCGCUAAUGCGCGAAAGCGUGACGCAGCGACGCCGCGUGGGGGAUGAAGGCCUUCGGG
Molecule: ribosomal RNA, 358 nt
Filed under: uncultured bacterium
Lineage: Bacteria
Description: bacterial SSU rRNA
Rfam family: Bacterial small subunit ribosomal RNA
Source: RNAcentral